CCAAUCUCGGGUGAAUUGUACUGAGACACAUGCGUUAUGACGAUAUCAAAUAAGUUGUGUCAUAACGUGCCGUAGGUACUAACGAACCAAUCGUUAGUAGAAGGGCAUUAAUAGAGCAAACCUGCACAAAAUAAAGCAGGUGCAUAUUGAAGGAACCCAACA
This is a regulatory RNA element of Photobacterium profundum SS9, 162 nucleotides long. It matches the Rfam family "DABA-DC-AT RNA". The record is from Rfam. Lineage: Bacteria; Pseudomonadati; Pseudomonadota; Gammaproteobacteria; Vibrionales; Vibrionaceae.